Molecule: ribosomal RNA, 255 nt
Filed under: uncultured bacterium
Lineage: Bacteria
Description: partial 16S ribosomal RNA
Rfam family: Bacterial small subunit ribosomal RNA
Source: RNAcentral
UACGUAGGGUGCAAGCAUUAUCCGGAGUGACUGGGCGUAAAGAGUUGCGUAGGUGGUUUGUUAAGUAGAUAGUGAAAUCUGGCGGCUCAACCGUACAGGCUAUUAUCUAAACUGGCAGACUCGAGAAUGGUAGAGGUAACUGGAAUUUCUUGUGUAGGAGUGAAAUCCGUAGAUAUAAGAAGGAACACCAAUGGCGUAGGCAGGUUACUGGACCAUUUCUGACACUGAGGCACGAAAGCGUGGGGAGCGAACGGG